UAACAUGAAACAUAUGUUUUAACACAUAAGCAAAAUUUGUAAGUUCAUCACUAAUACAAAUGCUCGAUAAGUAUAAUAUACUUACGUGCACAGUUUGUACAAUGCCUUGAUACUAUGUAAUUGACUGUACUUGUAACUUCUUACACACUAGUAUCCUUGCACAACCUAAAAUAAAUUAAUAAAACAUUACAAUGUUAUAGAUCAGGAAUGUUAUGACUCAGACACAUCUACCAGUGCUAACGGUUGUAUUCGGGCAAAAUUCCACGUAAAUCCGUGAGAGAGUUCGUAAUCUAGCCGUCGGACUUGUUAAACGUUUCACCAUUCGACCACAAACUGAUUCACGUUAUUUGUGUGUAACCAAUACAGAGAAUACGAAACGGUGAACCGUUUGCAGAUAGAUUAGAUGAACAGUUGGAAAGGAAGGUCCGUUUGACAGGAGCUGUCAAACGAGGCAGUAAACGAACAAAGGACGCUCCAGAUUUCAGCCGAUUAGAACGAUAGCGUACGCUCUACGAUGGACGUACAAAUGACAAGUUUAUACGCUCAAGCUUGGGAUCCGACGACGAAAAACUUGCGGUAGGGCCACCGUCUGUACUCUCCCACUCACUUUCUCGCUCUCUCUUUCUCUUACUCACUCCUGCGACGAGACACGAACUAUACGAGAGGGCGACGAUCGGACGAAACAGCUGUUGGUGGCGUCGAGAGAAGCGAAGAAACGUCAGAGAGCGAGUGAGAGGUACUACGCCAUAGCACGAACCUACGUGAAAAUCCGCGAAAAGUUGCCGUGGUGGGGCAUGACACGUAAAUUCCCCGGAGCUUCGAAUGCAACUAUCCGCAUACGCAAGGACGAUGGUCUCGUCGUUUCGUGAUACGAUUUUGAAGGGGGGAAAAUGCUAGCAGCGAGCGAGAGAAUGAGAAAUGGAAGUAAUGAAAGGAGUGGCGGAGGGUGAGAGGGGGAAGGAAAAAGAGGGAAGGAGAAAGAGCAAGAUGGUGGGUGGCAAGAUGGGGGAAGGGUAGAGAUGAGUACGAGCGAGAGUGAGAAAAGAGGGACGGGAAGAGGAGAGAGAGAGAGACAAACGCAGAAAAAGGAAAACAGAACAACGAUGCCAUCAUUAGUUUUAUCCCUUUUUAGUCAAUGGUCGUUGUCUUGAUCUUGCGCAUGAAGCGUAAGAGAAAAGGAGGCUCUCACCAAUCUCGCGUAUCUUCUACGUACUUGUUUGAGAUGAACGAUAAUGCUGUUUCAAGCGCAAACAACUAUGAUCCCCAACAAAUUCACAAGUUCCCUUAAGCAUACAGUUUAUGGAAAAGUAAACCACGGUAGCCCGAGCAACAUGGUAUAGUUCACCACGAACGUCACAAAGGAUUGAAUGAUUUGUCGCCAGAGGGGUUGCUAAAUACCCUGGACUGGUUACAGGGUAUACCUGGCUGAGUUUAACCUUAACUUUGUUCAAUAGAAGAAACUUUUCGACAGCUACCGUGCUUCGUCAAUCGCGUGCCACCACUCUCAACAAUUCUAACAUUAAAUACGUGUGUUCGUCGACUCAAAUUCCUCAGACCUUGUUUACUUACGUUACAACUUUUUCACUAACAAAUCUCUUUUCUGUACUGGGAAAUUUUUGUAGUCUUCAAGAUCUGGUCGCAUGCGCACCACGACUGCGCAGAAGCGGACGUUACAUACACUGGUAUUUAAAGAGAGGUGUACUCGCGAAGAAUUCUGAAAGCGCAUGUCAAACGGAGCUUCGAUUUUGUUACUGCACAUGUUAAAAUGUUUCUAUUCUACCUUUUUCGGUCAUUUUCAUUUAUUUAAGCUCGUAUACUACGUUGCAUAGACGUUAAUGGAAUUCUUUGUUACUAUAGGAUAGGUUAUACAACGAAUUUCUUUGGUCAAGGUUUCUUCUAUUUUACAUUUGCCGCGUAUCUGGAAAUAAUCGGUAACCGAUUUGGCAGUACUGCCAAUAGCUGAGAGUAAAUAUUUCCAACAUCGACGAAAAUAUAGGACAAUUCAUUGGACGAAAUUUAUGGCUUAAAAAUUUCAAUUAAAUUAAAAUGAAAUGUAUAAGACUGUGAUAUUAAAAUCCUUUUCUAGUCGAGAAUACGAAAUUUUCCAUGAAAGUUGACGUACUAUUAACUGCGUUGUAUUCUAGAAAAUUUAUGGAGUUUACCCUUAUUUUGUACUUUAUAAAUUAAAGACGAAUUACACUUCAUCUGGGUUAGUUAUAAACUACACAAUUUUACGCAAACUCAUAUUUUUAUAGGAAAAAAGAAUUACAUUUUGCACAAACAAUAAACUUUGUAUGCCAGAUUCUUUAAAAAGUUAUAAAGUGCACAAGAUUUUGUAAUCUAUGUAUAUUAAAUAUAUUGAUUGAUCAUA
Megalopta genalis is the source of this 2371-nucleotide long non-coding RNA. RefSeq lists it as uncharacterized. The record is from RefSeq and is a predicted model, not a curated record. NCBI's taxonomy places the organism in Eukaryota, Metazoa, Arthropoda, Insecta, Hymenoptera, Halictidae.